Molecule: long non-coding RNA, 753 nt
Organism: Bombus terrestris (buff-tailed bumblebee)
Lineage: Eukaryota; Metazoa; Arthropoda; Insecta; Hymenoptera; Apidae
Exons: 3
Source: RefSeq, a predicted model, not a curated record
GUGUACAAUAUCAAAUAUAUAUUAAAAUAAAAAUGUUUAACAAAUUAAAAUAAUUGAGGUUUAUAUUACAGUACAGUAUAUCUUAUGAGUACAUGAUAUGAAGUUAUGCUGUUGAUCUUUUUUAUAUAUUAUUAUCAGGAUUGUUAUAGGAUUAUAAGAAAUAAAAUAAACAUUGUUAUAGGAUUAUAAUCUUAUAAUCUAUAUCUAUAUCUAUAUCUAUAUCUAUAUCUAUAUCUAUAUAUAUCUUAUAAUCCUAAACAUUGUUAUAGGAUUAUAAGAAAUAAAAUAAAAAAUGGAGAAGGUCAAAAAAAUAAAAGUGAAUCAAGCUAUUGAAUUACUUUGGCUAAAUAAGAAAGAUGCGCAGAAGAAGAAGACAAAUGAUCAUAAGAUAGAAAAAUCAUUGAAUAUUCACACUCAGUGUAAAAUUAUACAUUAUUACAAGAAAAGUAAGAAGCAACAUUCAGUAAGUUCCUCAAAGUACAAGAUACUCUCUGAAAUAAAAUCACAUGCGAUUAAAAAAAAUUGGAGUAAAGUUAAAAAUCUAUUUUUAUUAUUACUAAAUUUUUCUAUUGAUAUUGAACCUUUAAUAUGGCGUUAUAGUCUUAUACUUUCAUUAUAUAGCAAUAUCGAUAAUUUAUCUAAUAUUUCCCAACUUUUUGAAACAUGUAUUGGUGCUUCACAUUCUGAUAAAAAUUUAAUACUAAAAAAUUUAUUGUUAUUGCGUCAUAAAUAAACAAAUUUUUAUGUCAUAAA